Molecule: ribosomal RNA, 253 nt
Filed under: uncultured bacterium
Lineage: Bacteria
Description: partial 16S ribosomal RNA
Rfam family: Bacterial small subunit ribosomal RNA
Source: RNAcentral
UACGAAGGGGGCUAGCGUUGCUCGGAAUUACUGGGCGUAAAGGGAGCGUAGGCGGACUGUUAAGUUAGAGGUGAAAGCCCAGGGCUCAACCUUGGAAUUGCCUUUGAUACUGGAAAACUUGAAUCUUGGAGAGGUCAGUGGAACUCCGAGUGUAGAGGUAAAAUUCGUAGAUAUUCGGAAGAACACCAGUGGCGAAGGCGACAUACUGGCUCAUUACUGACGCUGAGGCUCGAAAGCGUGGGGAGCAAACAGG